GAUGAACGCUGGCGGCGUGCCUAAUACAUGCAAGUAGAACGCUGAAGCUUGGUGCUUGCACCGAGCGGAUGAGUUGCGAACGGGUGAGUAACGCGUAGGUAACCUGCCUGGUAGCGGGGGAUAACUAUUGGAAACGAUAGCUAAUACCGCAUGACAACAGUUAUUGCAUGAUAACUGUUUAAAAGGGGCAAUUGCUCCACUACCAGAUGGACCUGCGUUGUAUUAGCUAGUUGGUGAGGUAACGGCUCACCAAGGCGACGAUACAUAGCCGACCUGAGAGGGUGAUCGGCCACACUGGGACUGAGACACGGCCCAGACUCCUACGGGAGGCAGCAGUAGGGAAUCUUCGGCAAUAGACGGAAGUCUGACCGAGCAACGCCGCGUGAGUGAAGAAGGUUUUCGGAUCGUAAAGCUCUGUUGUAAGAGAAGAACGAGUGUGAGAGUGGAAAGUUCACACUGUGACGGUAUCUUACCAGAAAGGGACGGCUAACUACGUG
RNAcentral lists this ribosomal RNA (497 nucleotides) under uncultured bacterium. RNAcentral's name for it is "partial 16S ribosomal RNA". It matches the Rfam family "Bacterial small subunit ribosomal RNA", at positions 28 to 507 of the family's 1533-position model. The record is from RNAcentral.